Molecule: long non-coding RNA, 311 nt
Organism: Portunus trituberculatus (swimming crab)
Lineage: Eukaryota; Metazoa; Arthropoda; Malacostraca; Decapoda; Portunidae
Exons: 2
Source: RefSeq, a predicted model, not a curated record
GAGAGAGAGAGAGAGAGAGAAUACAAAUGACAAUAAUUAUUAGUGAAAAACAUAAUAAAUAAAUAAAUAAAUAAAUAAAUAAAUAAAUAAAUAAAUAAAUAAAGGUGAAACAAAAAUAAAAAUAAAAGUUUCUUGUUUAUUGAAGUAAUAUAAUAAUUUGUGUAGGUUUUUGGUACACACACACACACACACACACACACACACACACACACACACACACACACACACACACACACACACGCACACACACACACACGAACUAACACCUGUAUCCAUUACACCUGUAGGGAGGAAGUGACGGAGACAAAGAA